RNAcentral lists this ribosomal RNA (502 nucleotides) under uncultured bacterium. Its description in RNAcentral is "bacterial SSU rRNA". It matches the Rfam family "Bacterial small subunit ribosomal RNA", at positions 903 to 1397 of the family's 1533-position model. The record is from RNAcentral.
AAAGGAAUAGACGGGGGCCCGCACAAGCGGCGGAGCAUGCGGAUUAAUUCGAUGCAACGCGAAGAACCUUACCUGGGUUUGACAUAGGAAGUAAUCCUCCAGAGAUGGGGGGUCCGUAAGGGCUUUCUACAGGUGGUGCAUGGCUGUCGUCAGCUCGUGUCGUGAGAUGUUGGGUUAAGUCCCGCAACGAGCGCAACCCUUGUCGCAUGUUGCCAGCACGCUCCUUUGGGGGUGGUGGGGACUCAUGUGAGACUGCCGGGGUCAACUCGGAGGAAGGUGGGGAUGACGUCAAGUCAUCAUGCCCCUUAUGUCCAGGGCUUCACGCAUGCUACAAUGGCCGGUACAGACCGUGGCGAUCCUGUGAGGGGGAGCGAAUCGGAAAAAGCCGGUCUCAGUUCGGAUUGGGGUCUGCAACUCGACCCCAUGAAGUCGGAGUCGCUAGUAAUCGCAGAUCAGCAACGCUGCGGUGAAUACGUUCCCGGGCCUUGUACACACCGCCCGU